GCUUCUUUUCGUUCUGGUUUUGUAAGGACCGUUUUUUGAGUACUAGUCGCCGAAUGGAACACAAAGGUCCUCUCAUCUGCAGGUCCACCUUUUUCCAGAGCUGAAGUGCUUUAGUCGUAAGGGUUUAACCCUUUCCCUUCUGACUCCCUUUUUGCAGUGCAUGUUGAGUCGGCUGCAGACCUUGACUGUAAAUCGGCAUCUGGAGACCCAACGGGUAGGAGUGCUGGCUGGUAAGCUGGACAUCUGUGUUAUCUGAGUUUCUUAGCAAUAAAGCAAAAGUGCAACCUUA
Molecule: long non-coding RNA, 289 nt
Organism: Arvicanthis niloticus (Nile rat)
Lineage: Eukaryota; Metazoa; Chordata; Mammalia; Rodentia; Muridae
Source: RefSeq, a predicted model, not a curated record